Molecule: transfer RNA, 69 nt
Filed under: Sphaerodactylus townsendi
Lineage: Eukaryota; Metazoa; Chordata; Lepidosauria; Squamata; Sphaerodactylidae
Description: tRNA-Ala
Rfam family: tRNA
About the family: Transfer RNA (tRNA) molecules are approximately 80 nucleotides in length.
Source: RNAcentral
GCUGUGGCUCAGCAGCAGAGCAUCUGGUUGGCAUGCAGAAGGUGCCAGGUUCAAUCCCGGGCAUCUCCA